This 24-nucleotide microRNA is filed under the name Glycine max (soybean). Its description in RNAcentral is "gma-miR4346". Lineage: Eukaryota; Viridiplantae; Streptophyta; Magnoliopsida; Fabales; Fabaceae. The record is from miRBase by way of RNAcentral.
GAAAGACCAAACGAGAAGCUGCAU